GCGGUACCGGUUCACGUCCUGCGGGACGACCCGGCGACU
Molecule: non-coding RNA, 39 nt
Filed under: unclassified sequences
Description: L31-Actinobacteria ribosomal protein leader
Rfam family: L31-Actinobacteria ribosomal protein leader
Source: RNAcentral